UGCGCCCGUAGCUCAACAGGAUAGAGCGGCGGACUACGAAUCCGUAGGUUAGAGGUUCAAGUCCUCUCGGGCGCACCAA
This 79-nucleotide transfer RNA is filed under the name Dictyoglomus thermophilum H-6-12. RNAcentral describes it as "tRNA-Arg". It matches the Rfam family "tRNA". From Rfam's summary of the family: Transfer RNA (tRNA) molecules are approximately 80 nucleotides in length. Their secondary structure includes four short double-helical elements and three loops (D, anti-codon, and T loops). Further hydrogen bonds mediate the characteristic L-shaped molecular structure. tRNAs have two regions of fundamental functional importance: the anti-codon, which is responsible for specific mRNA codon recognition, and the 3' end, to which the tRNAs corresponding amino acid is attached (by aminoacyl-tRNA synthetases). tRNAs cope with the degeneracy of the genetic code in two manners: having more than one tRNA (with a specific anti-codon) for a particular amino acid; and 'wobble' base-pairing, i.e. permitting non-standard base-pairing at the 3rd anti-codon position. The record is from RNAcentral. Lineage: Bacteria; Pseudomonadati; Dictyoglomota; Dictyoglomia; Dictyoglomales; Dictyoglomaceae.